This 45-nucleotide non-coding RNA is filed under the name Trichobilharzia regenti. The record is from RNAcentral. Lineage: Eukaryota; Metazoa; Platyhelminthes; Trematoda; Strigeidida; Schistosomatidae.
GUCCAGCUGACGGGUCCUAAAUAGAACGACAUGCGCAUCGUGGAU